AAAAAACAACAUAGACUGCAGCCGACUGGACAAAAUCGCUCAUUCAUGCAAAUGAAUACAAUCAUGCAUUAAUACUCAAAAGAACAACGGGCCACAUACAAAGUAGAUGAACAUAUAGCAACAAGAAAAUAGUAAUCACAGAGUACUAAUUCUCAUCACACGUGUAUGGAACAAUAGAAAGAAAUUGAAUACAGGGAAUACUACACCACUUAUUCUAAUAAUAGCACACUGUGGCUCCGUAUUGGGUCUCCUCCGUCAAGUGUCGUAUAUAAGUAUCCCAUCAAUUAUGUGUUGCCGGUGGUUUGCACUUCGGAGGCGGCUUCGGUUUCGGUUCAGGUUUAGGCUUGGGCUCCGGCUUUGGUUCGGGUUUCGGCAUCGGCUCGGGCUUAGGACCUGGCUUUGGUUUGGAGCAGGGCUCGGGCUUUGGUUUUGGCAUUGGCUUGGGCUUGGGUUCUGGUUCGGGCUUCUCUCCGGGCUUUUGUUUAGGCUUUGGUUUGGGUUUUGGCAUCGGUUCAGGUUUGCAGGGCUCUGGCUCUGGUUGUGGCGCAGGUUUGGACAUUGGCUCUGGUUGUGGCGCAGGUUUGGACAUUGGCUCUGCUUUGGGUUCUGGCUUUGGCUCUAGCUCUGCAAAAUUCUCGACAGCAGCAAGGCCUCGGCCAGCCGCAACAACUUGGUUGAGAGUGGAGGCUGCAACUACCCCGAUGAGGAGCACGGCGAGGAGGCGAUGCCUCGCCAUUGCUGCCUACUUCUUGUGCUUGCAAGUUGUGUUGCACCUGUUGUGGUUUGUGUGUGUUUGUGUAUGUUGUGUGGAGAAUGGAGAUACAUAUGGUGUGGUUUUAUAGGCAGGGUGAAACAAAGCAGAUCUAGAUGCUGCAUUAAUUAACAUUGCAGCUAGCUAGCUGGAGUGACAAGUAGUACUGCGUAACAUGGCAAUGGAGCUAUAUUGGUCGAUUAGUUGAUUACAAAUGAAGCAACCAACGUAGCUAGAGGUGUUAAUAAGCACAGCUGGAUUUUGCGUGUGUGUCUCUAUGUGAUGAUAGUGGGGUGAGUAACAAUAUUUUUACUCUAUUGGUUGGCCUCCUGGUAGUAAUAGAAUCAUGUUAGUUGCCUUGUCAGUCCUGUUCACACGUCCAUGUGACCGGCCAUCAUUUAGAAAUCAAGAUCGAUGCUGUACACGUUAGUGCCAUUACAAAGUAGAAAAAGAAAAAGAAAAAAGCAACCGCUUCAGUUCAAUUCACAAUUCCAAGUUUUUGCGCACUCGUGUUUUCUCAAGCACUCUAUCUAGCCCGGUAUAGUUGGGCAGUUUCAGAAUUGUAGAUACCAAUGAGGAUUUUAUCAUGCUUAUUGUCUCAAAUUAUUAAAUCUUAUAACUCUCUGAUAAGCUAGGUUAUUUUGACGUUGCAUGCCCCUCAUUCUCCAGUCUCAUGCAUGCGUGUGCUUUAGACUUUAGUUAUGCAUGUAUGAUUUUCCAAAAAGGGUUUCAUGGAGACGGAGCUCCAAAACGAACUGGGUUGGUGAGUUUAGCACCGCCAUAUAUUCUGAUAGAGUAAGGAUUAUAUUGUGGUAAUGUUCUUUCCCUCCGUUUGUCAUAUUUUGAAUCAAGAGGGUUUCAUUGUAAUUCUUAGUUAUAGGAGUUAUUUUAUAAUUUCUUGUAUCUAUGAUCGAAGCAUUGUAUCUAUGAUUUUGUUGAGUUUGAAUAAAGUCACAUGCCCUUCUGAGCCACGCGGAAUACCGCACCACCAAUCGCGCUCACGCUUGAGACCGCCGUCGCCGGUGGCUGAUCUCCCUCCUCUGGUCGCCUCCGGCCCAGCCAAGUACAGAUCCGGGACCCUCCCGACGUCCUCUCUCCAGCCAUCCCGAAGUUUGGCACCGUCUUCACCGGUUCUCUCCCCGCUGAGCGGCUCGAGUUGGGCCCUCCACCUCUCCCGGUCCCGGUCACGUGCGGCUGCGCGGCCGCAUCGGGGCGCCCCUGUGGGCCCGAGCAAGCCCCCUGCGCCUUUCUAUUCUCUCGCCUCCGCCGAAGCCGUCGCGGGGCAAAAUCCUGGCAGCAGGACCCCUCGGUCAUCGUUCUCGAGCGUGGGGGCGGCGCUACUCCAGGCGGUGAUGCUCCGGUGUCAGGGGAUCCUUCCUUGGCUUGUGGAGCUGCGGUGGCGGCGGUGAGCCACAAUUUUGGAUGGCGGCGCGGCGCCGUCGUUUAGGCCGGUGUCUCCGGUGGUCGUGGAGGUGCUGGUCGUCCGGUUAGAGGUGACGAGGUCAUGGCUGAUGCUGGAGGAUGUGGCUGGAGCUGAUGCGGGGUGUGCCGUUGCUACUACGGGGCGGAUCUAGCAGGCUUGCCGUGGUGGGCGCCAGAUCCGACCGGUUUGGCUGGCUCCGGCUCGCCGGCUUUUGCAGGCGGUGAGGUUGAUGGCUCCUGCGUGAGGGUGGCGUCGUCGUCGCGUAGGAGGUGUGUGGUACAGCGGGCUUGCAGACCAGUGGUGAUGCGCCACCGGUUGCAUGUGUGGGGGGGGGGGCUCAGCGAGGUGGCUCCAGGCGAAAUCCUAGACGGCACGACGUCCGUGAACGUCGUUUUUCCUCCUUGGGGGUCGUUGUGGAGCCCUUCCUUGCCCAACACCUUCGAACCAUGGACGCCCCCCCUUGGGGGCGUUGCCUUGAGGGUCACUGGUCUCUUCCGUGCUUUCCGGAGCUGGACACACACGACAUCGGGGUCGGCAGGUACCCGUCUGGCGAUGUGGUUGGCGCGACUUCUUGUGUGGUGACGAUGGCGGCUUCAAGCGAAGUUGGUUUGCUGUUGAGUUUUGGUAGUCGGUCUCAUCCCGCGUGUUCGAGGGGUUGCCGCGCCUCACUUUGUCUUCCUGGAGUCGGAGCUGCUGAGGCGGGGCCUUGCGACGACGAUGACGCGAGGCGGGUGGUCGAUUGUGGCGCUGGCUCGGCUCAGGCUCAGUUGUUUUCUCCUACAAUGCUCGUCGACAGAGUUGGAACUGCUUGGUAGUUGGCGUGUGCGGUUGACUGUUUGGCAGUGGCCGGCAUGGGCCUCGGUGUUUGCUUGUGGUGAGGGCUGUUUUGAUGGUCAUCGAUGAUGUAGUCGGAGUCGCCCUUGUGUAGGUGUGAUGAUGAUGACACCGGGUUGCAGCCUCGACGGUGUUCUCUCUUCGGCGACGUGUGUGCGUUCUUAUGUGGGUUGUCACGUCGCCAUGCGUAUCCUGUAUGGACGUGGUGUAGCAGGUUUCACUCGGUUUUUCGUUAAUUAACCCAGCAAUUCUCUUUUUCUUAAUUAAUGGGAUGAGACAAUGCUUUUGCCUGCGUUUAAAAAAACACUAGCUAGCCGACAGUUUGUUCAAUGCGUGCUGUCAUUUUGCACAAAUGCCUAUGUCUCUACCUACUGUGAGGCGCUCACUUGUUGGGAUGUGGUGCGGGCUGUGGUCCGGUUGCGGUGGAGGAGUAACAUUAGUUUGUUUCGUGCAAUUUUCAAAACAUUUCGUCGGAGUUUUUUUCCUGUUUUCUUUAUUGGGUUUCUUUUUUUUCAUUUUCCCUUUUACUUUUUCUGUUCAUUUAUUUCAUGUAUUGUUUUGUAUUUUAUUUUUCCAUAUUUCAAAUACAGCUUGAUUUUUUUUUCAAAAUAGUAAACAUUUUAAAGUAACCAUAGAAUAUUUUCUAAUACAUGUUUGAACGUUUUAUAAGUACAUGGUGAACAAUUUUUAUAUACAAUGAAUAUUUCUCUAAAAACUGCAAGAACACAUUCUGUUUAUUUAAUGAACAUUUUUAUAUUGCCAUGACCAAUUUUAUAAACAUGCGAAAAAAAUUAAAAUGUAGUGUUUUUUUGGAACAAUGCGAAUAUGAAUUUUAAAACUCUGGAAUAAUUUUUAAGACAAGUUGACAUUUUUUAUUUUUUUACGAGAAAACUUCGGAUGUAUUUAUCCAUUGUCAUGUUAGUAUAAGAAUACCAGAACUAACAUAACUUACAUUCAGAUCCAUAGACCAUCUAACGAUGUCUACAAUCACUUGAUCAAGCCGAAAGUGCACCAUGAUCCUCACUCCUCCCUCAUCGGAGUCGGACAAUGUCCAGUCAUGUUUUUUUUACAAACUGUUAAUCAUGUAUGAAUUUUUCUAUUGUGUAUUUCAAAAUUAUCAUGGAUUUUUAAAAAAUAUUGUGCAUUUUUAGAAAAACUGUUAUUUCAAAGGUUCAUCAUGUAUGAAAAGAAAUCUUCAUCAUAAAUUGUUCAAAUUGUCCACAGUGUAUAAAUUCAGAAAAAUAUGAAGACUUUUUAAUUCUAUGUGUAUUUGAAAAAUGUUUAAUAUUUUGAAACGUUUUAUAAAUACACGAUGAAUAUUUUUAAGUAUAUUAACAGCUAUUAUACUGCAUGAUCACCUAUCAAUAGUACAAACCCAUAUAUUUUAUACGCGAUGAAAAAAUCUGUUAAUAAUAAUUUUCAUGGUGCCUUUUCUUGGAAAUCUUGACCUAGGGUGUAGUUACCUUUCACACAUAUCCGAUAUAUAUUUAAGUAAGUCAUCCCAUUUAAAUGCACAUGCAUGUCAAUCACAUUAUGAAGGGUAUGCAACCAAUAAACUUCCACUUACCACUUUUCAUCACAUGCAGGUCCUCGAUAUCAUCAAGCGUGCAUGUAAUCAUUCGACGUUUCACUUCUCAUCAUAUGCAAGUUCCACAUCAUCAAACACAUGAAAGCUCUUCACCUCAUUAUUUUUUACUAUUUAUUUUUUAGCAACAAAUAAUUGAACUUGAAGGUCACAAGAAAAUAUAUUAUGCGUGCACCCUCUAGUUACAUCUAGGUUUUCUAUUGCCAUAUGCUGAGAAUGUUGUGUGGUAUUAUUCCUACAUAUGCUAUUUUUCAUAAUUUCAUUGCUAUAAAUUUUCGUGACAAUGUGUGUGACGUUUACCUAGUAGUAGCAGAGCCAGCUUACUCACACAGCCUGGGCAUAAAUAUAACAGCGUGCCUAGAACUUAUCUAGACCAGAUAUAAUUUAGUCGCAUUCAUCUAGAAAAUCAAAACAGAUACAAAGUAGUACUACAACUCACGUCGGCACACGCACAUCUUAUAGUCACAUCCAAUGACUAUAAAAGAUGAACGAGACAUAACUAAAAUUCAGUUAGAUGAGUUUUAGCAAAACCGUAAAUAUAACGCACUCGGUCGGGACUUACUUCGUAGGUGAAGGGUAGAGAAGAAGGCCACUGUCUUGCGUGUGAGUGCACUUUAUACAUCUAGAACACCAGACACGUAUACAUAUGUGAUAUGUCUGCUGCUAGGAAGUCAUUCUCUUCUCUUUUGUUGACAUUAGCUUUCCCCCCAAAAAAGACCAUAUAAUAUGAAACAAUCACAUAGAGAGAAAAUAACAGGGACUGCACCCCAUAGAGAAAACAACAUAGACUGCAGUCCACUGACAAAAUAGCUCAUUUAUGUUUUGUUGUUUGGAAAAGGAGGUUCAAACCCCCGGCCUCUGCAUCAAUCGAUGCAUACGGUAGCUCAUUUAUGUGAAUACAAUCAUGCGUAGAUACUCCAAAGAACAACAAGUCGAGUCACAAUGUCCCAUACAAAGUAGAUGAACAUAUACCAACAAGCAAAUACUAGUAAUUACAGAGUACUAGUACUCAUCACGCGUAUAUGGAAAAAUAGAAUGAAAUGGAAUACAGGGAAUACUACUACACCACUUAUUCUAGAAAUAGCACAGUGGGGCUUGGUACGGGGUCUCCUCCUCCAUCAACUCUCAUAUAUAAGUAUCCCAUCAGUCGUGAGCUGCCGGUGGUUUGCACUUCGGAGGUGGUUCAGGUUUAGGCUCGGGCUCCGGCUUUGGUUCGGGUUUCGGCAUCGGCUCGGGCUUAGGAUCUGGCUUUGGUUUGGAGCAGGGCUCAGGCUUUGGUUUUGGCAUUGGCUUGGGCUUGGGUUCUGGUUCGGGCUUCUCUCCAGGCUUUUCUUCAGGCUUUGGUUUCGGCAUCGGUUCAGGUUUGCAGGGCUCUGGCUCUGGUUGUGGUGUAGGUUUGGACAUUGGCUCUGGUUUGGGUUCUGGCUUUGGCUCUAUCUCUGCAAAAAUUUCGACAGCAGGAAGGCCUCGGUCAGCCGCGGCAGCUUGGUUGAGAGUGGAGGCUGCAACUACCCCAAUGAGGAUCAUGGCGAGGAGGCGAUGCCUCGCCAUUGCUGCCUACUUCUUGUGCUUGCAGCUAGUGUUGCACACCUGCUGUGCUUUGUGUGUGGUUGUGUGUGUUGUGUGGAGAACUGGAGAUACAUAUUGUGUGGUUUUAUAGGCUGGGUGAAACAAAGCAGAUCUGGAGGCUGCAUUAAUUAGCAUUGGUUGAUUAGUUGAGUACAAAUGAAGCAACAACCAACGUAGCUAGAGGUGUUAAUAAGAACAGUUGGAUUUUGCCUGAGUGUGUCUCUAAUGCGAUGAUAGUAGGGUGAGUAACAAUAUUUUUACUCUAUUGGUUGCCUCCCGGUAGUAAUAGAAUUCUGUUAGUUGCCUUGUUAAUCUUGUUCACACGUCCUUGUUAGUUGCAUCAUUUAGAAAAAUCAAGAUCGACAGUGUACACGUUAGAGUAAUGCACUACAAGUAAAAAAGCAAUCGCUUGAGUUCAAUUCACAAUGAAAAGUGAAGGUAGUCUUUGAAGAGGAACUGGCUUGAUCGUACGUGCACGUCGUGUGUGAGCUUCACCACCUGUUGGAAACCCUCAAGACUCCUUGGUCUGCUUCCUCGACCGAGUUUUCACGAACUCUGCUGUGUUUUCUCAAGUGGUUUUCAAGAAGGUGGCGUUGGAUUAAUCCAUGCACAAGUUUUGCCAGAUUAUGCUGAAUGAUAUAACAAAAGUGAAGGUGUACAUCAUUUGAUGUCGAUGACGGGGUUCCUCCUUUAACAAAUAAGUGUUUUCUCAAACACUCCCUCUGGCCGGUAUACUGGGCACAGUUCCAAAAUUGUAGAUAUCAAUGAGGAUUUUAUCACGCUUAUUGUCUUAAAUUAUUAAAUCUUAUUAACUCUCCGACAAACUAAGAGCAACUCUAACAGAUCGUGUAUUCUAUGAAACUGUAGAUGUGAUUUAUAGUUCGCACAGCAGGAUCUAUACAGGCUGAAAAUUACAGCGGUAGAAUAGAAACCGUAAAAGAAACUCAAAUUUGCUUGUUGGCUUGAUGACGUGAGUCUCGCCGCCUCCUUCUCCCCUAAUAAUAAAGCAACUAACGCUUCGGUCGUCCGUCGUCGCCGAUCGCAGGACGUUUUGCAGAAAGGCUCCUAAGGUUUUAGGUAUUCAACCCGCGGUCCCUUUUAAGUGGUAUCUGAGAAAACGUUUCAGUUUUGCAAAUUAACCACUGCAUCUCGUGAGAAUUCGAUCCGCACUCCUUUGUUCUAUCUUCUCUAGUGGUGGAGAAGGUGGAAGGGGAAUAACUUCAGCUCGGCUCGUCGGCGAGCGUGUUGCAGGAGGCCGACGAGGAGGCCAGUGGGCGUUGUGCGCUUACAGGGGAGCGGGUAGGCCGGAGGUGGAGGGGAUGGCCGGAGGCUGAGGGCAGUGGAGAGAGAGGCCGAGAGAGUCGGCCCGAGGGAGGGGGGACUGAGAGAAAGAGAGAGAGAGUGUGUGUGUGAGCCGGAGAGGGGCGGUCGCCGGAGCCGGACCUCCAGAACAACGACGCAACAAUCUGGAUGGCACAACGGCUUUGAUCCCGGAGAAUGGUGAUUGAUGGCUGCCAACAGACGGAUCCGGGCGAAGGAGGCUCUGAGAGGCGCAUGGAAGGCUGUCAAGGUUGGGGGCGCCGGAUCCAGAGUUCGCAUGGUGAGAGAUGGGGAGAGGGUAGAAUCUUGCUAGUAUAAGACGAGUUAGAGAAGCGGCAACGCCUGCAGAACAGAGCAUGAAGGCAGCUCCUUUUGAGGAGGCGACGACGGACGACAGAGCUCGUGACUGCGACCUUCUCGGCUCCUGCCGGCGUGGUCACUCAAUUCGCUCCACGGCGCGAUGGCCCAUUGCCGGCAAGGCAGCGUUCUGCAACGCACCAGCCUGCAAUGGAGGCGGUGUCCAUGGUGCAGCCGUGGCCUUCAGCGCACACCGCGGGGGAAGUGCUACCGGACACCGGCUUGGCCCCGAUGCUGCUCCUCCCAGACGGUGGUACCCAUGGCCUGGCCCACUAGCCCCCGACUGAGCUCCCAGCAGAGGCGCACAUCGAUGGAGGCUUCGAGCAGGCCGCUCUGCCAUGCUUGUGCAAUGGGGGUCUGCCCGCGUGCUGGGGUGGGGAUGCACGGAUGGACAGAUCCUGGCAGUGGCUGCCACGGUGGCCGGGCACUAAGUACCGGAGUGAUUCGUGGGUGCAGCACGGACAGCUGUUGUGAGGAGCACAGCCAGGCAUCAGCGCUGGUCUCCUCUUCUCUGUAGCUGCAGGAGGAAUGGUGAUGUUUUGGAUAAGGGUCACGUAGUGCGCAGUUAGGUGAAGAUUUAGUGCCUAUUGCUAUUUUUUGAUCAAUAGUUGUUGGUAGAUGUACACGGACUUAAGCUGCUGGAUACUUCGGUGCUCAUCCCGUUGGAUUUAUAUGCGAUUGUUCGUGACGUUCCAACAAAUUGUUAUUUGCUAGAUGUUCUUUUUCACAUUAGUUCAUUAUAAUUAUUUGAUUGUACCGCCUUAUAGAGCAUCUACAACCGGACUUAACAAAUCUGACCUCUCAAACGUUCAUGGAAACGUCCGGACGCAUCUGCGGACGUUGAUCAAUUAAGCCUCAAAUAACGAAUUCUACAACCGGAUACUUUAAAUUAGAAACCUCAAAUAUAUAUUAUUACAUGCAACAUAAAUCUAAUAUUAAGCGUGGCUCGUUUGGGUCCGCCCUGUCCAUGUCGAAAGGCUAGAUAUGCCCUUCAUAGUGUCCGUCCGAUCGUUAGCAAGGUAGAGUAGGACAUGGGACACUGGCCGGUUCAUGGAAGUCGAGUUUCCGUCGUCUUCCAUGCCCAAUUCUUCCUUAAAUUUAUCACUUAGUGUUACUACAGAACAAUCCAACCGUCAACUGCAAAGUUAGUAUACGGAACUACAUGAUCAGCUUCAAGGAGCAUGUCUACGUGCUCCAACACUAGCGCAUUCAUGAAUAUUUGUUUAUAAUUUGUACAAAAACUUAUUUGGACUUAUUUAAAAUUGUAAACAUUCUAAUGAUCCUAUUUUAUAAUGUUUGUAUAAGUAAAAUCAAAUUUCAUGGCUAAAAGAAAUACUCAGUGUAACCUUACUUCUAAAGCUUGCAAAAAUUAGAUUAAAAUAAUAUUGCAUAAUGACACAGGAAGAAAAUUAUAUUUAACAUUUCGGCCGGUGCAACGGCACGGGCAUUUGUAUUAGUAGAUGUCUAUGACAGCAAGGCACGAACUUGUCACUCCCCGUAGGCAUAUUACCAGUGCCACCCAUUCGUCGAAGCAUGUUAAAUGUUAGCGCACUAAUUUAUAAAAAAAUAAUUUGUGCAUUUACUUUUGUUGUCAGUUUUAGGAUUAAUAUAAUGUUGCUUAAAAAUAUUUGUCGGGUGCUGAAAAAAGGGGAAAAGGACGAUCAAUUUGCCAACUUCACACAAGGGCUCUCAAAAUCAUAGAGCCGACCCUGCCAGCACCAUGUGACUUGUGAGAGAUUAUUAUGGCUUCUCGUAUGUUGUGUAGCACUAUCAUUAAGAGCAAUUCUAGCAGACCCUGCAUCCGCCCCCGAUCUGCAAAAUAACCGCUAAAAUGCGGGUACGGACCGAAAAGCCUGUCCGACCAGACCCUGCAUCCCAUCCCGGCCCGUAAAUUUUUUUCAGGGGCGCGGCAAAUUCUCGACCCCAACCCGGGAAAACACGGGUUUCCCCCUCGCGGCUGCGGUGCCCUGCAUCACAGAGAAGCAGUUGGCGGGAGGGACAUUUCAGCCCGUGCUCUUUUCCCCCUCCUUCCGCCGCCGCCCACCCUUGCUUCCGCUCGCCCGCCGCCGGCGAUUCCGGCCAUAUCUGCAGGCGAGCCGCUGCAUCGCCCCUCCAGAUCCGGCGAGAAGAGUCGCCCCCCCCCACCGCCGGGGAUCGACCACCGUCAAGCGCACCCCCUCGUCGCCGCCCGGGAUCACCCGCCACCGGUUAGUCCCCUUUUUGCGAUUUUUGCGAGCUGUGCGAGAAGAUGGAGUUGACCCCGUGCGAGAAGUUUUUACUAUCCGAUUCGUCCGAUUCGGACGACUCGUAUGUUGAGACCAUGCUUGCGAUCUUUCGGCAGCAAACAUUAGUCAUGGCGCUUGCCGUGAAGGAGCAUGAAGACGAGCACUGGAAGAGGAGGCGAGGAUCGAUUGUCGGGCGCUUGUGCAUUCCUCGAAAUCGCCAUCUUGGGAACGAGAUGUUGAUGCAAGACUAUUUCGCGGAGAAUCCUACAUAUCCUCCGCACCUCUUCCGGAGAAGGUACCGAAUGCGCCGAUCCCUCUUUGUGAAACUUGUUCAAGCUUGCGAGGCAAAUUGCCGGUAUUUUACUCAAAGAAGGAAUGUCGCGGGCUGAAAGGCUUGGUUGUUGUUGUUGUUGUUGUUGUUGUAAGGAAUGCUGCGGGCUUAAAGGGAUUUAGUGCAUAUCAAAAAAUCUCCGCACCUAUGGGGGGUGAUUGCAUAUGGCGUUCCGGCUGACUAUGCCGAUGAGUAUCUUCGUAUUGGUGAAUAUAGCACAAUUGAGUCUGUGCGUAGAUUUGCGAAAGUGAUCAUCCGUGUCUUCGGUCCUGAGUAUCUUCGGGCACCCAAUGAAGGACACAAAGAAAUUGAUGGCAUCUGAUGAGAGGAGAGGUUGGCCUGGCAUGCUAGGUAGCAUUGAUUGUAUGCAUUGAAAUUGGAAAAAUUGCCCCAAGGCUUGGCAAAGAAUGUAUUGUGGCAAGUCUAGUGAUGCAACAAUUGUGCUAGAGGCCGUAGCAUCUGAAGAUUUAUGGAUUUGACAUUGCUUUUUUGGUAUGUCGGGAACUCUCAAUGAUAUCAUUGUGUUGCAACGGUCUCAUUUAUUUGCUAGGCUUGCUAGUGGUGAUGCUCCUGCUUGCAACUACAUUAUCAAUGGGCAUGAAUACACAAAGGGGUACUAUCUUGCAGAUGGUAUGUACCCUCCUUGGUGCACAUUUAUCAAGAGCAUCAAAGAACCCAAAACAAAAAAACAAUGUGAAUUUGCAAGGGUGCAAGAGGCAGCCCGCAAAGACAUUGAAAGAGUAUUCGGUGUUUUGCAAUCUAGGUUUGCCAUUGUCCGUGAUCCUGCUCGUUUUUGGGAUAAGAAAACCUUGAAGAACAUCUUGACAUGUUGUGUUAUCCUGCACAAUAUGAUUCUUGAAGAUGAGAGAGGAUUGGACUUAGAAUUAUUUUACGACAAUGUGGGUAGCCGUGUUUAACCAGCUAGAGACCCAAACCACAUUAGAGAUUUUCUUCAGACAUACAAGGAGAUUGAAAAUGCAGACACGUACUUUCAACUUCAGGAAGAUCUCAUUGAGCACCAUUGGCAAAGGGCUGGACAGUGACUUAUUUUUGUAUUCAUUUGUAUUUGCAUUCAUGACAAGUUUUGUAUUGCACUAUUUAAGUUUGCUACGGUUAUUUGAAUAAUUAUUUAUAAUGCGGAUGAUUAUUGUAUUAUGUUUGAUUCGAAUAAUUUAGUUUGUUUUCGAUUGUUGAAUUAUGUUGUAUUUGAUACUUGCGGGUUGAUGAUAUGCGGGAUGUAGCGGCGCAAAGAGCAGACCCCGCAAAGCCGACCCGUUAAAAAGUAUAUUCCACGAAUGUAUUUUUUUACGGAUCCGUUUGGGGGGUCUGCAUAUGUGUCAGCCUGCAAAAGCUGUUUUGCGCGAACUGCAAACGCGUGUUGUGGACCGGCGGGAUGUGGGGUCUGCUAGAGUUGCUCUAAGAGAUUUUUCUUCGUGCGAACUGAGUAAGAGAAAAUCUUUUAAAAUAACUUUCAUGGUGCCUUUUCUUCGUAAUCUUGACCUAUGGGGUGUAGUUACACGUAAUCUUUGUAAUCUUGUUGGCAGCGCAGGUGGUGGCGGCAACGCAGGACGGCCGGCGGGCGAACGGGACAGAGCAGCAUCGAGUGGCCACCCCUAGGAUUGAUUUGGGGACGUUGUUGGAUGGUCUCACAUGUCAGAUCCAGACCCACAUCCAUGCGGUUCCACAUGUAAGAUCCGGACCCACUAUCACUAACGCCGGCGGACGGAAUGGACUCAAAACUGCCCGUUUGGCCUCGUCAUAGUAGUUGCGCACGGGCUAGAGGCAAAACUGAGCACGAUUUGCAACUGAGGGCAAAAGUGAGCAUAUGGACACCACUGAGAACAAAAAGAUAAUUAUCCCUAUUAAAUAGUGGUGCUUUUUCUACGAAUAUAAUCAAUUCCAUAAUGCUAUCCGCUUUGACCAUCCUAUUACCCUAAAUGGAAAGCAAAGUAGGUUAUUCAGCACACCAUAACUUCGUUCCUUGGUUGACUGCCUGGCCUUCAAGAAACUAGAAAAAAUGUAAUAACUCACUUCACUAUGAGCGGCUCCCUCCCCACCAAUUGGGUAGAUGGAAGCUAUAUACGUAUAGAAAAAAGUAAACCACAAUGAGAAACAUACUUGCCCCAUUAGCAUCCAUAUGACGGAGCAACCAGCCCCCUUCAACAUCUUUCAUAAUGUGUUCUACGCUGUUGAAAGCUAGAUCCACAUGA
RNAcentral lists this long non-coding RNA (12605 nucleotides) under Hordeum vulgare. Its description in RNAcentral is "long non-coding RNA (HVUL_LNC013806)". Lineage: Eukaryota; Viridiplantae; Streptophyta; Magnoliopsida; Poales; Poaceae. The record is from RNAcentral.